UGGCGGACGGGUGAGGAACACGUGGAUAACCGACCCUUGACUGGGGAAUACCAGGACGAAAGUUCUGUUAAUACCGCAUACGCUGGGGACAGGAAAGCUCUUCGGAGCGGUCGAGGACGGGUCUGCGGACGAUUAGCUAGUUGGUGGGGUAAUGGCUCACCAAGGCGAUGAUCGUUAGCUGGUCUGAGAGGAUGAUCAGCCACACUGGGAUUGAGAACGGCCCAG
RNAcentral lists this ribosomal RNA (225 nucleotides) under uncultured bacterium. RNAcentral describes it as "partial 16S ribosomal RNA". It matches the Rfam family "Bacterial small subunit ribosomal RNA", at positions 96 to 334 of the family's 1533-position model. The record is from RNAcentral.